UAGGGAAUCUUCCGCAAUGGACGCAAGUCUGACGGAGCAACGCCGCGUGAGUGAAGAAGGAUUUCGGUUCGUAAAACUCUGUUGUUAGAGAAGAACAGCGCAUAGAGUAACUGUUAUGCGUGUGACGGUAUCUAACCAGAAAGCCACGGCUAACUACGUGCCAGCAGCCGCGGUAAUACGUAGGUGGCAAGCGUUGUCCGGACUUAUUGGGCGUAAAGCGAGCGCAGGCGGUCAAUUAAGUCUGAUGUGAAAGCCCCCGGCUAAACCGGGGAGGGUCAAUGGAAACUGGUUGAAUUGAGUGCAGAAGAGGAGAGUGGAAUUCCAGGUGUAGGGGUGAAAUGCGUAGAUAGAUGGAGGAACACCAGUGGCGAAGGCGACUCUCUGGUCUGUAACUGACGCUGAGGCUAGAAAGCGUGGGUAGCAAACAGG
Molecule: ribosomal RNA, 429 nt
Filed under: Bacteroidota bacterium
Lineage: Bacteria; Pseudomonadati; Bacteroidota
Description: Bacteroidetes bacterium partial 16S ribosomal RNA
Rfam family: Bacterial small subunit ribosomal RNA
Source: RNAcentral